Molecule: non-coding RNA, 1469 nt
Organism: Myodes glareolus (Bank vole)
Lineage: Eukaryota; Metazoa; Chordata; Mammalia; Rodentia; Cricetidae
Source: RefSeq, a predicted model, not a curated record
UGGUCUUUUGUGCACGUAAAAUUGACAGACAUAUGAAUGCUUCUCUCGCUGGAGGCCACCAGAGGCUGGAGGAGGGAGGUGACAUCCAUCUCGAUCCAUCUGUGUUUCUUCAAGGUCACAGUGGAGGAGGAAGCAGCCGAGUUGUUGAGAGCAAAUAGCAAGACUGACUUGAGUAAGUGUUCCAUGGCUGUCACCCGAUCCAGGUUAAACAGCAGGUCCGCCAUCGGCAGGGGUCCUGAGAAGAGAAGCCACCAACCAGCAGGUGAGAAGAAUGGCUCCCUUUGGUGGCAUCCCUACUGACGCAGCCAGGAGACUUGCAGAAGCAACAUUCGCUGGACCUGGAUGAAGCAUGUCAAUUGAGAACAUCUGACUGCCACGUGAGAUUGGAAACAAAUGGAGGCUCUAAGACUGCUGCAGGAAAGUGGACCAGCGGGAGGAAGGGAGGCUUUCAACAGACGCCCUGUACAGGCAUGAUGGUUUUCCUUCCACUGUGAACUGGUGGCUGCGGUGUGUGCGUGUGGGAGUGUGCGUGUGGGGGCGGUUAAUGGACACACACUCUGUAGCACACAUAUGGAAAAACAACUUGUGGGACUCGGUUCUUCCAACAUGUGGGGCCUGGGAACUGAAUUAAGGCUGUCGGGUUGGUGGAAAAAGCCUUCACCCAUGACGCCAUCGCCAAAGCCUGGAGUUUUUGUUGCCGGUUUUUAAAGCCUCCCCCACUCUUAUUUCUUACCAAACUGUUCCCGCUGUUUUUGGUUUUUUAAGACAGGGCUUCUCUGUAGCUUUGGAGCCUGUCCUGGAACUUACCCUGUAGACCAGGCUGACCUCGAACUCACAGAGGUCUGUCUGUCUUUGCCUCCUGAGUGCUGGGAUUAAAGGUGUGUGCCACCACCACCUGGCCUGUUCCCAUUGUUGACUAAUACUUUGAGGUUUGGGGUUUUGUUUGUUUGUUUGUUUUUAUUGUUGAGACAGGGUCUCACCAGGUAACCCAAGCUGGCCUGGAACUCAUUGGAUAGCCCCAGCUGGCCCUGCUCUGAGCUGGGAGAGCAGCCUGCCCCUGCCCCCUGAGGGCUAGAAUUAAAGUCACGUGUCAUUAUGCCCUGCUUGACUUCUGUUGAUACUGGAGGCCAAACUCCGGGCAUUUGGUAUACUCAACAUAAACUGUACUAUAGCUCAGCCAUACCGUUUUGCACUGUGCCAGAUGGAGCGAGAGGAAACUGUCCCAUUCAUCACAGCCACGGCUGGCUCAAAGCGAGGUUUCGGCACAAUGCUAGGCCAACAGCUUGGCAGAAUGGAAAGAGAUGCUAGCUACUUCCCCUGGUCUUUCAAGACAUUACUCUCUUCUAGCCUUAACAUAUUGAGCUAGUGUGCCGUUACAGGCCUGUGUCCCCAGCACUAAGGCAGGCGGGUCACUGCAAGUUUGAGAUCAGUCUCAAAAAAGAAAGAGAGCGGGAGGGAGGGGAAGAGGG